This 253-nucleotide ribosomal RNA is filed under the name uncultured bacterium. RNAcentral's name for it is "partial 16S ribosomal RNA". It matches the Rfam family "Bacterial small subunit ribosomal RNA", at positions 524 to 776 of the family's 1533-position model. The record is from RNAcentral.
UACGGAGGGUGCAAGCGUUAUCCGGAUUUACUGGGUUUAAAGGGUGCGUAGGUGGACAGAUAAGUCAGCGGUGAAAUCUCCAGGCUUAACUUGGAAACUGCCAUUGAUACUAUCUGUCUUGAAUAUCCUGGAGGUGAGCGGAAUAUGUCAUGUAGCGGUGAAAUGCUUAGAUAUGACAUAGAACACCUAUUGCGAAGGCAGCUCACUACGGGAUUAUUGACACUGAGGCACGAAAGCGUGGGGAUCAAACAGG